Non-coding RNA from Camelina sativa (false flax), 393 nucleotides. The record is from RefSeq and is a predicted model, not a curated record. Lineage: Eukaryota; Viridiplantae; Streptophyta; Magnoliopsida; Brassicales; Brassicaceae.
AGUAUUUUGAAUGGUUAGUUAGUACAUUAGUGUGAUUGUUCUUGUUUUGUCUAAACGUUUAACUAUGUUACAGGUUUUUGCAUUGAGAGAUGGUUGAUAGUGAAGGACGAGCCCAUCUGACUUUAUUGUUCCGUUUGAUCAGUAUAUGGAAUCUGUGAAGAAUAACUACUUUAUCGACAUGAGAUUUGUGUACCGAAACAGUUCUUCAAACAUGUGUACUGCUUUUGAUGGGAAGGCGAAAUAGAUAGAGGAGAAGAGACUGAUGAUAUGGAAGUUUGUCUCAGUCCUUAUAAGUUUUAAUGUUAGUUUUUUUGGAUAAAACUUGGCAGCAUAGUACAAGACUUGUAUGAUAUGUAAGAUUUGUUUAAAUUAAUGUUAUGUAUGUUGAUGAUA